ACACCUAAGCACCCCUCCAUACUUACUCUCAGAGCAAGAAGGUGGUGAGGAUCUUUCCAGAUCUGUACAAUCACUUCUUUUGUCUUUUCCCAGACUGCCUGUGAAAGAAUGUCAUCAUACCACAUGGAAAAGGGAGCCUUGCCAUCGUCACCCCAGACCAGGAACAUUUGCACCUGUAGAAACCCAAGGAAGAAGGUACAGAAGCUCACUGGGAUAUUUAAGUCCGAGUUAAAUGUGGAUGAGAAGAGUGAAGAGAUGCACUGGUAUGAUGAAGAUAAGCACACAUCACUGACCCCGAUACUCUAGAAGCGUAUCCUUCAAAGACACGAAUGGAGGGAAUGGGUGAGUAGAAAGCCCAGUGCUUGGAGGAGUCACUGAAGCACAGGAUAUUUUGUUGGUCAUCUUGGGGGAUGGGGUGGGGAGGGGCGGAGACUAUUGCAGGGGCAUUGUUAGGGAAAGGGAUCCUGAAGAAUUGAAGAACAUGGAGUGAGUUGUGUUCUCUGAGAGAAAGAUGGGGCUGGGGGUGUGGGCGUUGGGGGUAUCGAAGGGGGUGGGGGUGAGCUU
RNAcentral lists this long non-coding RNA (564 nucleotides) under Mustela putorius furo (domestic ferret). Its description in RNAcentral is "lncRNA (ENSMPUG00000024297.1)". Lineage: Eukaryota; Metazoa; Chordata; Mammalia; Carnivora; Mustelidae. The record is from RNAcentral.